RNAcentral lists this long non-coding RNA (283 nucleotides) under Vigna radiata. Its description in RNAcentral is "long non-coding RNA (VRAD_LNC006346)". The record is from RNAcentral. Lineage: Eukaryota; Viridiplantae; Streptophyta; Magnoliopsida; Fabales; Fabaceae.
GCAAGACGAAGAAAGGGGGUGUAGGGUAUUUUGUGUGAGUUGCGGCAGAGUUAUAGGGAUAGACUUAUGGGGAGUAGGGUUAUAGGGGUAAAGUAAGAAUUAAAAUAAAAUAGGGAAGUGCAGGACAAGACCAUGGAAGUGCAGAGAGGAAUACUCUUCAAUUAAAUGUACAACUACUUAAACAAAAGCAAAAUAACAAGUAUUGGGUAAUAAUUUAUAAUAAAAGACUGCAAAAAGAAGAUUAAAAUAGAAAAAUGAGCAAAAAGAAAAGAUACAACAGAAG